Long non-coding RNA from Vigna unguiculata (cowpea), 3940 nucleotides. The record is from RefSeq and is a predicted model, not a curated record. Lineage: Eukaryota; Viridiplantae; Streptophyta; Magnoliopsida; Fabales; Fabaceae.
UUCCCUGACAUCAUAGCAUGAGAAACAUCAAGUUCAGGCAAUAAUGGCAGUGAAACUCCUCCACCAGUGAGGUUUCCACAGACAAGAUCCAAUAUUAAACCCAUUUAGAGUUUAUUACAUCCAUCUAGGUGAAAAUCCUUCUAUGACCAUUGUACCUCCAUUAGUCAUCAAUGGAUCUUUGCCAUGCCUCAUGUGUUCAAUUCAACAACCUUUGAUGUUUGGGAGGGUUGCAACAAAUUAGUGUUCUCUUGGAUUCUCAAUUUAGUUGAACCCACUACUUCACAAACAUAAUCUACAUCGAAGUUGUUCUUACAGCAUUGAAAUUGUCGAGUAAUUGUUUUUUCACAGGCAAAUUGAGUUAGAGUGCUAAGUUACAGGAGGAAUUGAUGUCCUUAAGACAAGGUGCAAAUUCUGUUACUCAUUACUUUAUAGAAAUGACGGUAUGAAAUUAGAUAAUUUCAGGUCUCUUCCAGUUUGUGUAUGUUUUGCGAAGUGUAUCUGUGUAGCUAGCACCACAGAAAACAUUUUCAUAAAGAAAAUAGCAUUAUGGAACUCCUUGGUACGUAUUUGCUUUUGUACAAAUUAAGUAGAAUUGAGUUUCUAACGCAAAAUUAAUGUGUUUGGUUUCCAAAAUCAUUAAAAAGAUAAAAAAUUCAUGUUGAAUGAGAAACAAUUAAUUAUUAUUUCAGUAAAAAAUCAAUUUAACUGGAAUCAAUUCUCUAACGCUCAACCAAACAUAUCCUAAGUCAUGAAUUUGAUGUUAUUAGAACUCAAAUUUUAAUGAUGGUACCUUUGCUGAUGUCAACAAGGUUCACUUGUUGAAGAGAUUUUGUACUCUCAUUGUUGGUGUCCAAAACACCAUAUUAAGUCCUUUAUGGUGAAGUUAAUGAUAUUAAACACCUAAGGGUUUUUUUGGUGCUUGUGCUAUUGUUUUACUAUUUCUUCUAAUAGAGGUAAAUUUGAUACUCAAGCCCAUAAGUGUGACUCUAUUGAAUACAAAUUAGGUACAAUAGGUUAUUUAGUAUACAAUUUGAUUACAAACUAGUUGCAAGUAUGUAGAAGUAUUAAUAUUAAAGAACUUGUCUCUCCUUACCUAUUAAAGGUAACAAAGUCUGUCUACACACAACCUUUCUUCACCACCUACUAUCUUUGAAACUUCCUCUUCUUUCCAACCAAGUAAUGAGCAGACUUCCCACAUUUUAGAAAUAUAAUUUUCUUAUGUUUUAUAUUAUACAAUUUAAAAAAUAAUUUUCAUCUGAUUUUAAUACAAAUUGUAUAUUCCAAAAUAUAAAAAAAUGUAUCGUAGAUUUUACAUUCCAAAAUACAAAAUUUUAUGGAGGUGCAGGAAGAAAUCGCCACAAAUUUAUAAAUGAGAAUGCAUUAUGAAAUUCCUUUGCGGGCGUGGGCUAAAUGGUGCAUUUGAUGUUCUUAGAACUCAAAUUUUAAUGAUGAGGCCAUUUCCUGAUGUCAGUAAGGUUUUUUUCUUCUUCUUAGUACUACAAGAUGAAAGGAGGAUUGGUAGUUCAAACAAUGAUGAAGGCCAAGUGUUCAUUAAUGCUAUAGAAAGUAGGAAGCAAUUUUGUAGAGACAAAGGAUUUGGUUUUUUUAGAGAAGGAAAAGUCAAAAUUUGUAGUUUUUAUGAGAGAAUUGGACACUUAGUUGACUGUGCUAUGAGAAGUAUGAUUAUCCAAGCAAUUUGAAAAGGAAUAGUUAUAACAAAAUGCAAAAGUUAAUCCAUGACUCGCCGAACUUUAAUUUUUUCCUUGAUCAGGGCCUAGGUAAUUUAAAUGCUCCCUUUGCAGUGUCACUUCGUCCAUGUUACAUGUAACGGGCUUAGGCCCAUUAUAUUGUAUUUUUUAUUUAUAAAUAUAUAAUCUUAUGCGCUUUACACACAUUAGGAAUUCAACUUAUGCUUCUCUCUUUUAUUUUAGCAUAAUAUUUAGAGUUAAGUGGAGUUAAGUUUAAUCUAUGUCCCCGAAGACAAGUGGAUUCACCUAUACUAAAUUUUUAGUUUUUUUUUUUUUUAAAUUUCUAGCAUUAUUCUUAGUUUGUUUUUUCUCCAACCAUUGUUUUCGCCAUCACUAUGCUACCACCUGAUACAGGCAACUGCACAAAUCUGAGGUUGAAUCACAAACAAACUAGCAGGUAAUUUCCACAACAAUUUCAAAUAUUUUGUCAAAAUCUCAUUCGUCAUUCACAGGUAUAAAACAAUUACCAAUCAUACUCGUAACAAAUGUUGAAGAUAGAGAGAUAGAUUGCAUAAAAGCUCCACAUAACAUAAUCUUAAAACGGUUCUUUUAAGGUCUUGGACUUCCCAUAAAACCAUGAACACACAAAAAAGUACAAACAUAGAAAGCGAACUAAAAAGAAAUGAGUAUAACUUCUCCUAAUAGCACACUUCCAAUACUAGUUCUAAGCCAUCAGCAUAAUAAAACAUAAUAAAUAUACUACCAUGACAUAAUUAAACAAGCCGAAGAAUUAAUUGUUAAAACCUUUCAAUCUACCAUAAUUUCAUGGAAGAUUGAGAGGACUUGACGAUGAAGGAUAUUUUUAUCAUCCACUGCUUGCUCAGUCAUUUUAUUUAUUUAAUCUUUUUUCCAUUUUUAGCAUCAGGUGAUUGUGUUUCAUUAUCACCUUUCUUUCUCUUUCUUGUGCUUGUUACUUCUGGAUGUGGUCUCUCAUUGUUGGUGUCCUCAAGCUCACCAACAUUAGAUCCUUUAGGUAGACCGUUCACGAUUUGAGUAAUGUCUCUUGAACUUAAUGCAUGAUUUCACUUGUUAAGGAUUCAAGGAAUUGAAACUUAAUGAAUUAUCGUACGCUCAAAGUUAUUAGGGGUAAAAUUUGAUUAUAUUUGUGUGUUUGAAUAUGGAAUUGAUAUGAUUCAAUAUGCAUGAGAUUGAAGUUGACGAAGUCCAGUCUUUGCAAUUGUAAAUACUCUAUGUUAAAUUUCUGUUGUACACUAACUUUUUGAUAAAAAUACCAAAAAGAGUUUUGUGUGUUUUUUUGAAUGGAUUGUCUAAUUGAGUUAUUGAAUGUAAGAGUUGUCAUGUGUUGCACAAGGAUUGAAUAUUGUGUUUAGUUUGGAAUAUUGUGUCUAUGUUUUGUAGUGCAAGUAACCAAUGUGAGAUUGUAUGUUUGCCCCGCACUGCUCCAAAUCUUAAUGCAAGUUUUGAGCAAAUUUAUGUUAAGGGAUUGAGUAGGCAAUUUAAGACUUAGAUAGGCACUAUAAGAGAAAUUUGUGUGUGUUGGCCUUAGAUAAUAUGGAAAGUAAUAUUCAUUAUAAAUAGAGUACUAAGUAAUCUUACAAAAAGAUGAAUCCGAGUGAAGUUGAUUGGGAAAUCUGUUUUAAUACAUUAUACAUAUUUGAAGUGUAUGAUUGUUGUUUUGGUUGGUGUGUUUAUGUUUAUGUCUUUCAUUCUUCAAUUCUCUUUAUUGUUUAUGUUUUGAAUUCUCUUUGUUCUGGUUUGUUAUGUUUAUGUUUUUCAAUUCUUUGUUUUCAUACCAUUGAUUAUAUAAAUUUCAUUGUGCUAACUUGUUUGUUCAAAUAUAUUUUGUACUCUUGUGGGUGAAAUGUAUUGAUGAGAAUGAAGAAAAAGACACAAGGAGGCAAUGGUAUUGGUUCAACAGGAUUAGAGUUCCAGAAGGAUAAUUGACAUUAGAUGUGCAUGUUGGUUUGCUCAUGAAUUCUUCCUCUCUCAUUCAUUAGAUAUUGAGUCAUCCUAGCCUUGCCAAGAUGCCCAACUUGUUCUAAGUUUGUUUAAGUUAUCAAAUUUUCAUUGUGAGUCAUGUCAAUUAAGAAAACAUAGUAGUAAUUUGUUUAGUAAAGUGUUACAUAAUGUGUUUCGUCUCCUUUUACCUUAGUUCAUUAUGACAUUUGGAGACAAAGUCGUGUUAAGCUAAAUUUAUGAUUUCAGUAUUUUGUCAUUUUUAUUGGUUGUUA